RNAcentral lists this ribosomal RNA (253 nucleotides) under uncultured bacterium. RNAcentral's name for it is "partial 16S ribosomal RNA". It matches the Rfam family "Bacterial small subunit ribosomal RNA", at positions 524 to 776 of the family's 1533-position model. The record is from RNAcentral.
UACGUAGGGUGCGAGCGUUGUCCGGAAUUAUUGGGCGUAAAGAGCUCGUAGGCGGUUUGUCGCGUCUGCUGUGAAAACCUAAGGCUCAACCUUGGGCUUGCAGUGGGUACGGGCAGACUAGAGUGCGGUAGGGGUGACUGGAAUUCCUGGUGUAGCGGUGGAAUGCGCAGAUAUCAGGAGGAACACCGAUGGCGAAGGCAGGUCUCUGGGCAUUAACUGACGCUGAGGAGCGAAAGCAUGGGGAGCGAACAGG